GGGUGAGUAACACGUGGAUAACCUACCUAUAAGACUGGGAUAACUUCGGGAAACCGGAGCUAAUACCGGAUAAUAUUUUGAACCGCAUGGUUCAAAAGUGAAAGACGGUCUUGCUGUCACUUAUAGAUGGAUUCGCGCUGCAUUAGCUAGUUGGUAAGGUAACGGCUUACCAAGGCAACGAUGCAUAGCCGACCUGAGAGGGUGAUCGGCCACACUGGAACUGAGACACGGUCCAG
Molecule: ribosomal RNA, 236 nt
Filed under: uncultured Staphylococcus sp.
Lineage: Bacteria; Bacillati; Bacillota; Bacilli; Caryophanales; Staphylococcaceae
Description: partial 16S ribosomal RNA
Rfam family: Bacterial small subunit ribosomal RNA
Source: RNAcentral